AUGGCGGUGGAAAUACAUCUCCCAUGCUGCUUCGCUCUCAAGUCGAAGCGCCAUGAGAGCUACCUUCGUUAUGUUCACGAGGAAGGAGACGAGACGACCAACGGGCAGCUGCAGCUCAACGGCGAGGACGCCGUCAACCCCUUCACCAGGUUCGAUUCCGAGCCGUCGCUGCUGCACGAAGGUAUGGUUCACAUUCGAUGCCGCUACAACCGCAAGUACUGGGUGCCUCGUCAGCGUGGCGGCGGCUGGUGGAUCGCCGCGGACGCCCAUGAGCCGGAAGAAGACAUCGACAGCGCCAACUGCACCCUCAUCAAACCCAUCAUCAGUGUCACAGACUCCAAGUCCAAGGCCAACGAUGACGAUACUACUACUGGAGCCGCCAUGACCGUCAGGUUCCUCCACGCUGGCCAUGGCAAAGACACGCGCAUGACCUUCUCCAUGGACCGCGGCACCGCCGCCUGCAUGCGCGUCCGUGAGAGCGAUGCCAAGGAAGAAGAAGAAGAAGAAGAAGAUGGUGGUGACGACUUCACCGUCCUCAACCUCUCCAGCAGCCCCAGGAGGCUACCAAGGUUGGUGGUGUUCAAGGGCGACAACAACCUCUACUUGAGCGGGGUGACGAUCAGUGGCCGCAACUACCUGCAGUUCUCAGCGCGCGACCCCGGCGACCCCACGGUGGCGCACGAGAUAACCUACCCCGGCAGCAACAACAGAAUGCACCUGCGCAACAUCCACCACAACAUGAUGUGGGGGUUUCGCAGCAUCGAUUCAGAGUGGGUCUUGGCCAACAUCGCCCCUACUCAGGCGGGGGGGCUCAACUCCAUGUUCCAGGCCGUGGAUGUCAAGGACUACUUCGCCCUCAGCAACUCCUCCUCCGGGGUCACACGCUACCUCAGAAGGAGGACGAGUGGCGGCAUCACCAACUGCCUCAACGGCGGCUCCACGAGCAGGGGCAUCACCGCCGACGCGCGGAUCAGGGUGGAGGAGCCCGUCCUUGACCGGGAGAUCUACAACGUCGAGUACAGGCUGAACAAUGUCAGGAUCUACGAAACCAGCGUCAUCACCAUGGCCACCACGGCCGCCGUCAAUGACACCUCCAAGGAGAACAUCAAGACGCUCACUCUCGCCUACGAGGAGUCCGAGUUGAGCACCUGGGACGCCACCCUCGAGCUCAAGCUAGGGUACAAGUCCAGGCUCCGAGCCGGGUUCCCAAAGCUCGGCCUCGGUGCCACCGUCAACAUCUCCGCCGAGUUCUUCGGGGCCUACAACUGGGCCGAGACCAUGGAGAAGAAGGUGAGCCAUGAGGUUGAGUACGAGGUCACCGUGCCUCCCAAGACCAAGGUAACCGUCAGACUCAUCGCGACGAGGAGUGCCAUCGACGUCCCCUUCGACUACCAGCAGAGGGACGUCAUGUCCACCGACGGAAAAGCUCGGGUUGUUAGCAGGACGGAUGGCCUCUACACUGGCGUCAACAGCUACAACUUCAAGUUCCAGACCACGGAGGAGAAGCUCAAGCCAAGGCUUUUGGCCACAACCCCUCCUUGA
RNAcentral lists this ribosomal RNA (1542 nucleotides) under Triticum aestivum (bread wheat). RNAcentral's name for it is "partial small subunit ribosomal RNA". Lineage: Eukaryota; Viridiplantae; Streptophyta; Magnoliopsida; Poales; Poaceae. The record is from RNAcentral.